Molecule: long non-coding RNA, 488 nt
Filed under: Equus asinus (donkey)
Lineage: Eukaryota; Metazoa; Chordata; Mammalia; Perissodactyla; Equidae
Description: lncRNA (ENSEASG00005033218.1)
Source: RNAcentral
CAUUCAGGUUCCCUGGAAAACGACCCCUGCCUGGAAGCCGGGCUCCUCGGCCGCGGGGCAACGGUUCUCUGUGAAUCCCUGAGCUCUGCGUCGAUGGAAGCGCAUGCUUUCUCUGAGUUUGCGCAACAGCGUUUUGUCGGGUCUGGUGAGAGGGGUUGAUCCUACAGCCCUGAGAGCCACAGACGCCUCUGCUGAAAACCCUGCUGGGAAAAGUGGGGAGCCCGUGGCCCACCGGCGCAGGUACAGAAGCGAGGGAAGGUGCCUGGUUCUUCCACUGUAAUCGUCCUUCCACCACCAGCUCAUCCGUGGGGCCAGGAGGAAGUGCGGGGAAGACGCUGACUUACCUAUGCAUCACACACACGUUGAAACCCACCAGUUCCCCUGGCCCUCUGCCAUCCGUAUUUCCCAGCACUCCCAGCUUGAAACAGGCUGAGCUCACCUCAGACGCAGAAGGAGGAAAGAGAGUUUGGCACUGACUUACAGAAAAG